UACGGAGGGUGCAAGCGUUAAUCGGAAUUACUGGGCGUAAAGCGUGCGCAGGCGGUUUGUUAAGUCUGCUGUGAAAUCCCCGAGCUCAACUUGGGAAUUGCAGUGGAUACUGGCAAGCUGGAGUUCGGCAGGGGAGACUGGAAUUCCCGGUGUAGCGGUGAAAUUCGUAGAUAUCGGGAGGAACACCAGUGGCGAAGGCGGCGAUCUGGGAAGAUACUGACGCUGAGGCGCGACAGCGUGGGGAUCAAACAGG
This 253-nucleotide ribosomal RNA is filed under the name uncultured bacterium. RNAcentral describes it as "partial 16S ribosomal RNA". It matches the Rfam family "Bacterial small subunit ribosomal RNA", at positions 524 to 776 of the family's 1533-position model. The record is from RNAcentral.